CCUACGUGAGGCAGCAGUGAGGAAUAUUGGUCAAUGGGCUUACGCCUGAACCAGCCAAGUCGCGUGAGGGAAGACUGCCCUAUGGGUUGUAAACCUCUUUUGUCAGGGAGCAACGCCGGCUACGUGUAGCCGGACUGAGAGUACCUGAAGAAAAAGCAUCGGCUAACUCCGUGCCAGCAGCCGCGGUAAUACGGAGGAUGCGAGUGUUAUCCGGAUUUAUUGGGUUUAAAGGGUGCGUAGGCGGAAUGCCAAGUCAGCGGUAAAAUCGCGGGGCUCAACCUCGCUCCGCCGUUGAAACUGGCGUUCUUGAGUGGGCGAGAAGUAUGCGGAAUGCGUGGUGUAGCGGUGAAAUGCAUAGAUAUCACGCAGAACUCCGAUUGCGUAGGCAGCAUACCGGCGCCCAACUGACGCUGAAGCACGAAAGCGUGGGUAUCGAACAGGAUUAGAUACCCGGGUAGUC
RNAcentral lists this ribosomal RNA (460 nucleotides) under uncultured bacterium. RNAcentral describes it as "partial 16S ribosomal RNA". It matches the Rfam family "Bacterial small subunit ribosomal RNA", at positions 338 to 795 of the family's 1533-position model. The record is from RNAcentral.